UUAAGUUUGAUCUGGCUCAGGAUGAACGCUAGCGGGAGGCCUAAUACAUGCAAGUCGAGGGGUAGAACCGACUUCGGUUGGUUUGAGACCGGCGCACGGGUGAGUAACGCGUACGCAACCUGCCCUUAACAGAGGGAUAGCCCUGGGAAACUGGGAUUAAUACCUCAUAGCUUGUUCGGAUCGCAUGGUUUGAACAAUAAAGCUCAGGUGGUUAAGGAUGGGCGUGCGUCUGAUUAGGUAGUUGGUGAGGUAACGGCUCACCAAGCCAACGAUCAGUAGGGGGCGUGAGAGCGUGACCCCCCACACGGGUACUGAGACACGGACCCGACUCCUACGGGAGGCAGCAGUAAGGAAUAUUGGACAAUGGGCGAGAGCCUGAUCCAGCCAUCCCGCGUGCAGGAUGACGGCCCUACGGGUUGUAAACUGCUUUUCUGCACCAAGAAACCUAUCCAUUUAUGGGUAGCUGACGGUAGUGCAGGAAUAAGCACCGGCUAACUCCGUGCCAGCAGCCGCGGUAAUACGGAGGGUGCAAGCGUUAUCCGGAAUCACUGGGUUUAAAGGGUGCGUAGGCGGGCUAAUAAGUCAGAGGUGAAAGGCUGCGGCUUAACCGUGGAAUUGCCUUUGAUACUGUUAGUCUUGAAUCGGGUUGAGGUAUGCGGAAUGUGGCAUGUAGCGGUGAAAUGCAUAGAUAUGCCAUAGAACACCAAUUGCGAAGGCAGCAUACUGGACCUGAAUUGACGCUGAGGCACGAAAGCGUGGGGAGCGAACAGGAUUAGAUACCCUGGUAGUCCACGCCCUAAACGAUGCUCACUCGAUAUGCGGCUUUAGCUGCGUGUCCAAGCGAAAGCAUUAAGUGAGCCACCUGGGGAGUACGUCGGCAACGAUGAAACUCCAAGGAAUUGACGGGGGUCCGCACAAGCGGUGGA
Molecule: ribosomal RNA, 926 nt
Filed under: uncultured organism
Description: bacterial SSU rRNA
Rfam family: Bacterial small subunit ribosomal RNA
Source: RNAcentral